Molecule: long non-coding RNA, 2809 nt
Organism: Chelonia mydas (Green sea turtle)
Lineage: Eukaryota; Metazoa; Chordata; Testudines; Cheloniidae
Exons: 3
Source: RefSeq, a predicted model, not a curated record
GACUCAGUCACAGGAUUCAAAAUGGCAGCAGUGAGCAGUGGGGAGGUUCUGCCAGGUGUUCAGUGCCUCUUCACCCAGGAGGAUACUGGAGUGUUAACUGAGCCUGCAGGAACCGGCUUUUCAUUCCUUUGCACUGUGCAUGGCGUAGUGCAGUGCUGCAGGAACCAGGAACUCAGCAACAGAAGAAGAUGGCACGAUGCAGCUCUUGAUGGAUUCCAAUUAUACAAAGUUGCCAUUUGCCUCCUUGAAUCUAAGGGGGGAUUACUCGACUGAUGAUGCUGACAGAGUGGCACAUUGGCAUGUGAAGAAGGAAGAACCAGGAAAGGGCAUUGGAAUAACAGCUUGAUUCAGCUCAGGGUACAACUCAGACCUGAAAGGUAACAUUUGAUUAUUUAUGUAAAUUAAAGAAUGAAAUCAUAUGUGGAGGAGAGAUACAGGAGGCCAAAUUCAGCCUGGAUACUGAGAGUGCAACUCCAUUGACCUGAAUUUGGCCCAAGAAGUUUAUGAUGGUAAAACACUGCUCUGAGUCAUGUUCACUGAUUGGUAAUUGAUAAGUAGAGUCCUCUGGACCAGUGUACUGAGAUGACAAUUGACUGUGGACCAGAAUUAAGGAGCCUGCCCUUCACUUUCUGCUAUAGUGUUUUGCCUGUGUUAGUCCAUACUCCUGGUGCCUUUGUCUUAAGCACAAUAUUCCACAGCUAUUUUCCCUUUUCCUCCUUUUAAUUUGUUCAGCUCCUCCCUGCCCAUCUGUGUGUUCAUCUUCUCUCUCUCCCUGAGAAUGGGAGGUGCUUCUCUUUCCUCUCCUGGGAGAAAUAGGCCUGUUAACUCUCAAAAUGGUGAACCCGAUGUAGCAGAGGAGGAAGGAACCACUUCAUAGCCAGUGUUGUGUUUCUCUCCCUCUGUGUGCUGAGGGGAAAGUCUUUCUGAUGGGAGAUCUUCAGAGAUCCUGGCUGAAGACAGGUCUUCCUAAUUUGGUCAGCAGUGAUUCAUUGGACUGCACAGAUGGCUGCUCAGGUGACCCUCCCCCUUUCCACUUUUCUCACGGCAAUACACAAGAGGCUCUAGGGACAGAAGCCUGAGCUAAGUAGCCUAUUCAGCAGCCUAUUCUCCUCUUUCUCAGAUUCACCCAAUCCUCAAGGCUGCAGUAGAGGUAGCAGCAAUGCAGUGUUCCAUUGCUAGAAAGACCCCAACAGCAAUAACCUCUGGCUCCUGGCCAUAUGUCCCUCCUGAAGUGUUGAAGUAGGUGAUUCAAGUGGGUUUUAUUCUCCAUUUCCUCCCCUUUCCCCCCAGCAUAAACUGUAACAAUUUCUGGGCCAGAGUCUCAAAUCACUUACUUCAGUGCAAAUCCAGAGGUUUCCCACUACAUCCCAGGAAGGUCUAGGUCGGGGCGGGGAAGCCUACCUACUUCUUUCAAAAAGGCUUUGGCCUGACGAAAGUGCCUGGAGUUGUGCCAGAGCACUUGGAUACUUCUCAUGGCACAUCACAGGUGGAGAAGAAACUCCAAAAGGCUAGUGAACAUAGCAAGAGCCCAGGUGCAUUUAUGUCUAAGGAGCCAACUCCUUCACCUGUGAAGAAGGGGAACUUUGAGCUUGUUGAGGUUGGAUUCUAGUAGAGACUAUUCCCACUGGAGUAUAUUGAAGGAAUGAACAAGAGGGCUAUUAUGCUCCUAGACACUCAACAAGCAGAAGGAGAGAAUGUACAUGUAGCAUUUAAGUGCUUCCCUACCAGUAAGGAAAAGGAACCCCGUGUACCACUGAGCUCAGCUGUUCUGGAAGUGAUAAAAUCAAGAGGCGAAAGCAGCUAAAAUCAGAUGCCUAAGUGGGCAAAUGAGUUUUGGAGGAAAACAAAAUUACUCACUUAUGUCCCUAAUUUCAGUGCAGUAGUUGCUGCAGACAUAAGAUUCAGUAACCACCAUAGAAGCAGUGGUGCAACAAUAGAAAAAUUGUCUGUGUGUUGUGGGCAGAGGGCUGCUGCGUUAAUUCUGAAGCCACACUGAGAUGGACAACAGGGGACAAUGAAAACCUGGGUGCAAGGAGUGGGGAUACAGCCCUUAAUAUCUCCUUGAUGGUUGCACCUAAUCACAGAUCAAGAAAAAGAGAGGUUACUAAGCACUCAGCAUAUAGCAGGGAUCAGCAACCUUUGGCCUGCGGCCUGCCAAGGUAAGCCCCAUGGUGGGCCGGGCCAGUUUGUUUACCUGCCGCGUCUGCUGGUUUGGCUGAUCGCAGCUCCCACUGACCGUGGUUUGCCACUUGAGGCCAAUGGGGGCUGCGGGAAGUGGUGCGGGCUGAGGGAUAUGCUGACUGCCGCUUCCCGCAGCCCCCAUUGGCCUGGAGCGGCAAACCGCAGCCAGUGGGAGCUGCGAUUGGCCGAACAUGUGGACGUGGCAGGUAAACAAACCAGCCCGGCCCACCAAGGGGCUUACCUGCCGUGCCGUGUGCCAAAGGUUGCCGAUCCCUGGCAUAUAGUAACAUUUAGUCACUGCUGGUGGGAUCUUGGUUCAUAGUUCAUAGACUCAGCAGUGUCUGCAGAGGUCCUAACUGGUGCCCAGAGCCAUUCAGCUCUCCCAACUAGCUUUUAAUUUUUCCAAGGUUCUUUGUUAUAUUUCUUUAUAGUCGUGUGUGUCUAUUGUUGUAUGGGAGCAUAUUAGAAUCUACACUUUGCUAUAAAAACAUCCCAGUCACCCCCAUGAUCUCAAAUUUAGAAGUGACUCUAAAGAUAAGUACCUGUAAUAAAAGACAGAAAAUCAACAUGGCUGCUGAUAGAGCUUUGGGAAUUGAAAACAUUUUUGAAAAUAAAAUUGCUCUAAUCC